Molecule: ribosomal RNA, 435 nt
Filed under: uncultured bacterium
Lineage: Bacteria
Description: bacterial SSU rRNA
Rfam family: Bacterial small subunit ribosomal RNA
Source: RNAcentral
GGAAGCUUCACGAUGUAUCGGUGGCGCAAGCCACCAGCAGAUCCAAGUGAAGAGUUUGAUCCUGGCUCAGAUUGAACGCUGGCGGCAUGCCUACACAUGCAAGUCGAGCGGCAGCGCGGGGGCAACCCUGGCGGCGAGCGGCGGACGGGUGAGUAAGGCAUCGGAAUCUGCCCUGAUNUGGGGGAUAACGUAGGGAAACUUACGCUAAUACCGCAUACGACCGAGAGGUGAAAGCGGGGGACCGAAAGGCCUCGCGCAGCAGGAUGAGCCGAUGUCCGAUUAGCUGGUUGGUGGGGUAAUGGCCUACCAAGGCGACGAUCGGUAGCUGGUCUGAGAGGAUGAUCAGCCACACUGGGACUGAGACACGGCCCAGACUCCUACGGGAGGCAGCAGUGGGGAAUAUUGGACAAUGGGGGCAACCCUGAUCCAGCAAUG